Molecule: transfer RNA, 72 nt
Filed under: Ovis aries (sheep)
Lineage: Eukaryota; Metazoa; Chordata; Mammalia; Artiodactyla; Bovidae
Rfam family: tRNA
About the family: Transfer RNA (tRNA) molecules are approximately 80 nucleotides in length. Their secondary structure includes four short double-helical elements and three loops (D, anti-codon, and T loops).
Source: Rfam by way of RNAcentral
UCCCUGGUGGUCCAGUGGUUAGGAUUUGACGCCUUCACUGCCAUGGCCUGGGUUCAAUUCCUGGUCAGAGAA